Molecule: ribosomal RNA, 440 nt
Filed under: uncultured bacterium
Lineage: Bacteria
Description: partial 16S ribosomal RNA
Rfam family: Bacterial small subunit ribosomal RNA
Source: RNAcentral
CUACGGGGGGCUGCAGCAGGGAAUAUUGCACAAUGGACGGAAGUCUGAUGCAGCGACGCCGCGUGGAUGAUGAAGGCCUUCGGGUUGUAAAAUCCUUUUCAGGGAGAAGAGGAAGGACGGUAUCCCUGGAAUAAGCGUCGGCUAACUACGUGCCAGCAGCCGCGGUAAUACGUAGGACGCAAGCGUUAUCCGGAUUUACUGGGCGUAAAGCGUCUGUAGGCGGUUUAGUAAGUUUGAUGUGAAAGCUCCAGGUUCAACUUGGAGAGUGCAUUGAAUACUGCUAGACUUGAGGGGAUCAGAGGAAAGCGGAAUUUCCGGUGUAGCGGUAAAAUGCGCAGAUAUCGGAAAGAACACCAGUGGCGAAGGCGGCUUUCUGGGAUCAACCUGACGCUGAGAGACGAAAGCUAGGGUAGCGAACAGGAUUAGAUACCCCAGUAGUC